This 660-nucleotide ribosomal RNA is filed under the name uncultured bacterium. RNAcentral's name for it is "bacterial SSU rRNA". It matches the Rfam family "Bacterial small subunit ribosomal RNA", at positions 94 to 788 of the family's 1533-position model. The record is from RNAcentral.
AGUGGCGGACGGGUGAGUAACGCGUGAGAAUCUGCCUUGGGGUCGGGGACAACCACUGUAAACGGUGGCUAAUACCGGAUAAGCCGAUUGGUGAAAGAUUUAUUGCCCGAAGAGGAGCUCGCGUCUGAUUAGCUAGUUGGUGAGGUAAGAGCUCACCAAGGCAGCGAUCAGUAGCUGGUCUGAGAGGACGAUCAGCCACACUGGGACUGAGACACGGCCCAGACUCCUACGGGAGGCAGCAGUGGGGAAUUUUCCGCAAUGGGCGAAAGCCUGACGGAGCAAGACCGCGUGAGGGAGGAAGGCUCUUGGGUUGUAAACCUCUUUUCUCAGGGAAGAAGCUCUGACGGUACCUGAGGAAUCAGCCUCGGCUAACUCCGUGCCAGCAGCCGCGGUAAUACGGAGGAGGCAAGCGUUAUCCGGAAUUAUUGGGCGUAAAGCGUCCGCAGGUGGCGAUUCAAGUCUGCUGUCAAAGCACGGGGCUUAACUCCGUAAAGGCAGUGGAAACUGAAUAGCUAGAGUGCCGUAGGGGUAGAGGGAAUUCCCGGUGUAGCGGUGAAAUGCGUAGAGAUCGGGAAGAACAUCGGUGGCGAAAGCGCUCUACUGGACGGCAACUGACACUCAGGGACGAAAGCUAGGGGAGCGAAUGGGAUUAGAUACCCC